This 1477-nucleotide ribosomal RNA is filed under the name Staphylococcus aureus. Its description in RNAcentral is "bacterial SSU rRNA". It matches the Rfam family "Bacterial small subunit ribosomal RNA". Lineage: Bacteria; Bacillati; Bacillota; Bacilli; Caryophanales; Staphylococcaceae. The record is from RNAcentral.
GAGAAGCUUGCUUCUCUGAUGUUAGCGGCGGACGGGUGAGUAACACGUGGAUAACCUACCUAUAAGACUGGGAUAACUUCGGGAAACCGGAGCUAAUACCGGAUAAUAUUUUGAACCGCAUGGUUCAAAAGUGAAAGACGGUCUUGCUGUCACUUAUAGAUGGAUCCGCGCUGCAUUAGCUAGUUGGUAAGGUAACGGCUUACCAAGGCAACGAUGCAUAGCCGACCUGAGAGGGUGAUCGGCCACACUGGAACUGAGACACGGUCCAGACUCCUACGGGAGGCAGCAGUAGGGAAUCUUCCGCAAUGGGCGAAAGCCUGACGGAGCAACGCCGCGUGAGUGAUGAAGGUCUUCGGAUCGUAAAACUCUGUUAUUAGGGAAGAACAUAUGUGUAAGUAACUGUGCACAUCUUGACGGUACCUAAUCAGAAAGCCACGGCUAACUACGUGCCAGCAGCCGCGGUAAUACGUAGGUGGCAAGCGUUAUCCGGAAUUAUUGGGCGUAAAGCGCGCGUAGGCGGUUUUUUAAGUCUGAUGUGAAAGCCCACGGCUCAACCGUGGAGGGUCAUUGGAAACUGGAAAACUUGAGUGCAGAAGAGGAAAGUGGAAUUCCAUGUGUAGCGGUGAAAUGCGCAGAGAUAUGGAGGAACACCAGUGGCGAAGGCGACUUUCUGGUCUGUAACUGACGCUGAUGUGCGAAAGCGUGGGGAUCAAACAGGAUUAGAUACCCUGGUAGUCCACGCCGUAAACGAUGAGUGCUAAGUGUUAGGGGGUUUCCGCCCCUUAGUGCUGCAGCUAACGCAUUAAGCACUCCGCCUGGGGAGUACGACCGCAAGGUUGAAACUCAAAGGAAUUGACGGGGACCCGCACAAGCGGUGGAGCAUGUGGUUUAAUUCGAAGCAACGCGAAGAACCUUACCAAAUCUUGACAUCCUUUGACAACUCUAGAGAUAGAGCUUUCCCCUUCGGGGGACAAAGUGACAGGUGGUGCAUGGUUGUCGUCAGCUCGUGUCGUGAGAUGUUGGGUUAAGUCCCGCAACGAGCGCAACCCUUAAGCUUAGUUGCCAUCAUUAAGUUGGGCACUCUAAGUUGACUGCCGGUGACAAACCGGAGGAAGGUGGGGAUGACGUCAAAUCAUCAUGCCCCUUAUGAUUUGGGCUACACACGUGCUACAAUGGACAAUACAAAGGGCAGCGAAACCGCGAGGUCAAGCAAAUCCCAUAAAGUUGUUCUCAGUUCGGAUUGUAGUCUGCAACUCGACUACAUGAAGCUGGAAUCGCUAGUAAUCGUAGAUCAGCAUGCUACGGUGAAUACGUUCCCGGGUCUUGUACACACCGCCCGUCACACCACGAGAGUUUGUAACACCCGAAGCCGGUGGAGUAACCUUUUAGGAGCUAGCCGUCGAAGGUGGGACAAAUGAUUGGGGUGAAGUCGUAACAAGGUAGCCGUAUCGGAAGGUGCGGCUGGAUCACCUCCUUU